CGGCAACAGCUCAAAUUUGAAAUCUGGCCUUCUGGUCCGAGUUGUAAUUUGUAGAGGAUGCUUUUGGUGCGGUGCCUUCCGAGUUCCCUGGAACGGGACGCCUUAGAGGGUGAGAGCCCCGUACGGUUGGACGCCUAGCCUCUGUAUAGCUCCUUCGACGAGUCGAGUAGUUUGGGAAUGCUGCUCUAAAUGGGAGGUAAAUUUCUUCUAAAGCUAAAUACCGGCCAGAGACCGAUAGCGCACAAGUAGAGUGAUCGAAAGAUGAAAAGCACUUUGAAAAGAGGGUUAAAUAGCACGUGAAAUUGUUGAAAGGGAAGCGCUUAUGACCAGACUUUUUCCAGGCGGAUCAUCCGGUGUUCUCACCGGUGCACUUCGCCUGGUCUAGGCCAGCGUCGAUUUUCGUAGGGGGAUAAAGGUUUAGGGAACGUAGCUCUCUCCGGGGAGUGUUAUAGCCCUUUACGUAAUACCUCUACGGGGAUCGAGGUUCGCGCUCUGCAAGGACGCUGGCAUAAUGGUCAUCAGUGACCCGUCUUGAAACACGGACCAAGGAGUCGAACAUUUGUGCGAGUGUUUGGGUGUUAAACCCUCACGCGUAAUGAAAGUGAACGGAGGUGAGAGCCCUUUAGGGUGCAUCAUCGACCGAUCCNNNNCCCGGCACCCAGAGUAACGCUCUGGGGUAUGGUAAUAACGCCCAUGGUACCGGAUGACCUGCAGCCAACCCCGCAAGAUAGGGGAGAGUUCACUGACUAGACAGUGGUGGGUCCCGCCGCGGCGGGGCUUAAG
Molecule: ribosomal RNA, 783 nt
Filed under: Xylariales sp. QL-2020b
Lineage: Eukaryota; Fungi; Ascomycota; Sordariomycetes; Xylariales
Description: partial large subunit ribosomal RNA
Rfam family: Eukaryotic large subunit ribosomal RNA
Source: RNAcentral